RNAcentral lists this transfer RNA (76 nucleotides) under Deltaproteobacteria bacterium. RNAcentral's name for it is "tRNA-Lys". It matches the Rfam family "tRNA". Rfam says of the family: Transfer RNA (tRNA) molecules are approximately 80 nucleotides in length. Their secondary structure includes four short double-helical elements and three loops (D, anti-codon, and T loops). Lineage: Bacteria; Pseudomonadati; Myxococcota; Myxococcia. The record is from RNAcentral.
GCGUCGGUAGCUCAGCUGGUAGAGCAGAAGACUCUUAAUCUUCGGGUCCAAGGUUCGAUCCCUUGCCGACGCACCA